Non-coding RNA from Podarcis lilfordi (Lilford's wall lizard), 83 nucleotides. NCBI's taxonomy places the organism in Eukaryota, Metazoa, Chordata, Lepidosauria, Squamata, Lacertidae. The record is from the annotation of a GenBank genome assembly.
GUCUUUGAGCUUGGAUGACUCAGUUGGUUAGAGUGUGGGGCUACUGACGCCAAUGUUGCAGGUUCGAUUCCCUGUGUAGGACA